This 253-nucleotide ribosomal RNA is filed under the name uncultured bacterium. Its description in RNAcentral is "partial 16S ribosomal RNA". It matches the Rfam family "Bacterial small subunit ribosomal RNA", at positions 524 to 776 of the family's 1533-position model. The record is from RNAcentral.
UACAUGUGGGGCAAGCGUUGUUCGGAAUUACUGGGCAUAAAGGGUGCGUAGGUGGUUUGUUAAGUCAGGGGUGAAAUCCUGGAGCUCAACUCCAGAACUGCCUUUGAUACUGAAGAUCUUGAGUCCGGGAGAGGUGAGUGGAACUGCGAGUGUAGAGGUGAAAUUCGUAGAUAUUCGCAAGAACACCAGUGGCGAAGGCGGCUCACUGGCCCGGUACUGACGCUGAGGCACGAAAGCGUGGGGAGCAAACAGG